This 385-nucleotide unclassified non-coding RNA is filed under the name uncultured Phycisphaeraceae bacterium. RNAcentral describes it as "contains 16S-23S intergenic spacer region". The record is from RNAcentral. Lineage: Bacteria; Pseudomonadati; Planctomycetota; Phycisphaerae; Phycisphaerales; Phycisphaeraceae.
UCCGGUUUGACACCGGCAGUCUCGCUAGAGUACUCGCCAUUACGCGUGAGCAACUAACGACAGGGGUUGCGCUCGUUAAGGGACUUAACCCGACACUUCACAGCACGAGCUGACGACAGCCAUGCAGCACCUGUGCACGUUCCGGUCUUGCGACUGUGGCUCCGCUUUCACGGAGUUGAUCCGUACAUGUCAAGCCCAGGUAAGGUUCUUCGCGUUGCCUCGAAUUAAGCAACAUGCUCCACCGCUUGUGUGAGCCCCCGUCAAUUCAUUUGAGUUUUAGCCUUGCGACCGUACUCCCCAGGCGGUGCACUUAUCGUUUUUACUGCGACUGAUACGGCGUCAAAACCGCACCAGUCUAGUGCACAUCGUUUACGGCGUGGACUAC